AAAAACUCCGGUGGUAUACGAUGGAUCCGCGUCUGAUUAGCCAGUUGGCGGGGUAACGGCCCACCAAAGCGACGAUCAGUAGCCGGCCUGAGAGGGUGAACGGCCACAUUGGGACUGAGACACGGCCCAAACUCCUACGGGAGGCAGCAGUGGGGAAUAUUGCACAAUGGGGGAAACCCUGAUGCAGCGACGCCGCGUGAGUGAAGAAGUAUUUCGGUACGUAAAGCUCUAUCAGCAGGGAAGAAAAAAAGUCCUUUGGACUUUGGACGGUACCUGACCAAGAAGCCCCGGCUAACUACGUGCCAGCAGCCGCGGUAAUACGUAGGGGGCAAGCGUUAUCCGGAUUUACUGGGUGUAAAGGGAGCGUAGACGGCAGCGCAAGUCUGGAGUGAAAUGCCGGGGCCCAACCCCGGAACUGCUUUGGAAACUGUGCAGCUCGAGUGCAGGAGAGGUAAGCGGAAUUCCUAGUGUAGCGGUGAAGUGCGUAGAUAUUAGGAGGAACACCAGUGGCGAAGGCGGCUUACUGGACUGUAACUGACGUUGAGGCUCGAAAGCGUGGGGAGCAAACAGGAUUAGAUACCCUGGUAGUCCACGCCGUAAACGAUGAUUACUAGGUGUCGGGGGGCCAAGGCCCUUCG
RNAcentral lists this ribosomal RNA (638 nucleotides) under uncultured bacterium. Its description in RNAcentral is "bacterial SSU rRNA". It matches the Rfam family "Bacterial small subunit ribosomal RNA", at positions 202 to 842 of the family's 1533-position model. The record is from RNAcentral.